UACGGAGGAUCCAAGCGUUAUCCGGAAUUACUGGGCGUAAAGAGUUGCGUAGGUGGCACUGUAAGUUGAUAGUGAAAGCGUUCGGCUCAACCGGAUACACAUUAUCAAAACUGCAGAGCUAGAGGACGAGAGAGGUCACUGGAAUUCCUAGUGUAGGAGUGAAAUCCGUAGAUAUUAGGAGGAACACCGAUGGCGUAGGCAGGUGACUGGCUCGUUCCUGACACUAAGGCACGAAAGCGUGGGGAGCAAACGGG
RNAcentral lists this ribosomal RNA (254 nucleotides) under uncultured bacterium. Its description in RNAcentral is "partial 16S ribosomal RNA". It matches the Rfam family "Bacterial small subunit ribosomal RNA", at positions 524 to 776 of the family's 1533-position model. The record is from RNAcentral.